RNAcentral lists this ribosomal RNA (466 nucleotides) under uncultured bacterium. RNAcentral's name for it is "partial 16S ribosomal RNA". It matches the Rfam family "Bacterial small subunit ribosomal RNA", at positions 28 to 507 of the family's 1533-position model. The record is from RNAcentral.
GAUGAACGCUGGCGGCGUGCUUAACACAUGCAAGUCGAACGGAAAGGCCCAAGCUUGCUUGGGUACUCGAGUGGCGAACGGGUGAGUAACACGUGGGUGAUCUGCCCUGCACUUCGGGAUAAGCCUGGGAAACUGGGUCUAAUACCGGAUAGGACCACAUUUUGGAUGGUGUGGUGGAAAGUUUUUCGGUGUGGGAUGAGCUCGCGGCCUAUCAGCUUGUUGGUGGGGUAAUGGCCUACCAAGGCGUCGACGGGUAGCCGGCCUGAGAGGGUGUACGGCCACAUUGGGACUGAGAUACGGCCCAGACUCCUACGGGAGGCAGCAGUGGGGAAUAUUGCACAAUGGGCGCAAGCCUGAUGCAGCGACGCCGCGUGGGGGAUGACGGCCUUCGGGUUGUAAACUCCUUUCGCUAGGACGAAGCGUUUUUGUGACGGUACCUGGAGAAGAAGCACCGGCUAACUACGUG